UAAUUAACGACGUUGAAAAGGAAAUUAAUUGAGUGUUUAUAGUUUCAACUAAACAAGGUUUAUCAUAGGUAUGAAGUGAAAUUUAAAAUUGCGCGAUGAUUAAGAAUAUUUAGAGUGUGGCCGUUCAGAUCUACCAGCGACUAUAUGCUCUAAGUAGAAUGUUAUAUUUUAAACACUGCGUAUAUUUAGCCUAUAGUUUUAUUUUUGUUAAUACUUUGAGCUUGAUAAGGCGGUCUUUUUAAUGGUACUACAGUGAGUGCGAUCUAGUUACGAAGACGGAUUGGUCGUGUUAUUAUGGAAUAAAAUCUUUAAUAGAAAGAAUUAUACAGCUUGCGAUUAAGCUAACCAAGGAGCUCAACAUUAUAUUUUCUAGGUACGAUUUUCCAAACAGUCCAAACACCAAGUAGACACGAUUUUUAUUUAAUUUAUGCGAAUGCAAGGCAUAAUACCA
Molecule: non-coding RNA, 451 nt
Organism: Schizosaccharomyces pombe (fission yeast)
Lineage: Eukaryota; Fungi; Ascomycota; Schizosaccharomycetes; Schizosaccharomycetales; Schizosaccharomycetaceae
Source: the annotation of a GenBank genome assembly